AUUGAACGCUGGCGGCAUGCCUAACACAUGCAAGUCGAGCGGAUGAAGGGAGCUUGCUCCUGGAUUCAGCGGCGGACGGGCGAGUAAUGCCUAGGAAUCUGCCCGGCCGUGGGGGAUAACGUCCGGACACGGGCGCUAAUACCGCAUACGUCCUGAUGGUGAAAGUGGGGGAUCUUCGGACCUCACGCUAUCAGAUGAGCCUAGGUCGGAUUAGCUAGUUGGUGGGGUAAAGGCUUACCAAGGCGACGAUCCGUAGCUGGUCUGAGAGGAUGAUCAGUCACACUGGAACUGAGACACGGUCCAGACUCCUACGGGAGGCAGCAGUAGGGAAUAUUGGACAAUGGGCGAAAGCCUGAUGCAGCAAUGCCGCGUGUGUGAAGAAGGUCUUCGGAUCGUAAAGCACUUUAAGUUGGGAGGAAGAGAAGUAAGUUAAUACCUUGCUGUUUUGACGGUACCAACAGAAUAAGCACCGGCUAACUUCGUG
RNAcentral lists this ribosomal RNA (484 nucleotides) under uncultured bacterium. RNAcentral's name for it is "partial 16S ribosomal RNA". It matches the Rfam family "Bacterial small subunit ribosomal RNA", at positions 30 to 507 of the family's 1533-position model. The record is from RNAcentral.